This 95-nucleotide non-coding RNA is filed under the name Catellicoccus marimammalium. Its description in RNAcentral is "THF-I sequence". It matches the Rfam family "THF (Tetrahydrofolate) riboswitch aptamer". From Rfam's summary of the family: THF riboswitch presents a pseudoknot that joins P1-P2 and the loop of P3 and two THF binding. The record is from RNAcentral. RNAcentral also lists the same sequence under 1 other name. Lineage: Bacteria; Bacillati; Bacillota; Bacilli; Lactobacillales; Enterococcaceae.
UUAAGGGUAGAAAAAGAGCGUUAAGUGUCCAAAAUAACGAAUGAAGUUUUGGAACGAAAAAUGAAAAUUUGCGAUUCUUUUUCGCAUUCACACAU